Molecule: long non-coding RNA, 405 nt
Organism: Mastomys coucha (southern multimammate mouse)
Lineage: Eukaryota; Metazoa; Chordata; Mammalia; Rodentia; Muridae
Exons: 2
Source: RefSeq, a predicted model, not a curated record
AGUGACUUGAAAGGUGUACUGCCUCUGUUUGACCUCACACCGAUCUCCUCAUCCUCCACGCUGGCACCGGACUCCAGGGCAUCAUGCACAAUGAGGAGCCUCGGAGCAGAGAUCUUGAUUUUUCUGUCCACUGUUGAACUCCAGCAGACAGACUCAUCUAUUUAAAAGACACCAUAGUGCCACCAAAAAAGAGGGAAAAAGGACAGUGGCUCUGCCCCACUUCCCAUGUCUCUUUCCUAUGGUGCUUAUAUUGCAGAAGUCUCUGAGAAGGAAGAAUCUGUGUGUACAUUAAGAGAAACUUGUUCCUGUGCCCAAGGAGAUUAAAAUUACAACUUAAUAUGCAAUGAUAGCCUAUACAUCAAAAUUAUAAUAAAGUAAGGCUUAAAGUAUGAAAUAAAAAUAUAA